CCGACUUAUGUAUGCGGCGUACUUUAGGCACCGCGAUGGAUUGGCACACCAUCGAGAUAAAGACGGAAACCGCGAAAGUGAUCCUCCAGUUUUAUCUUUUUUAAUUACGAGUGGCCAAUGGGUAGGAGCGAACAAGAGGACCAGAGACUGGGUAGUUCGUUUUCUCGGUUUUUAUCCAUAAUGGCUUAACAGCCAAACCUGCUAUUAACUGAGGUCGACGCAUCCGACCGUUGGAAUUCUUGUUACAAGGACGUUUAAUGAAAAUUUAUAUUAUCUUAUAAAACGUAUGUGUAGCAGUUGAAACGACUAAAUGGUUUUGUUCGUUCAACCACCAACGUUCAGCAAACUUAAUAAGCAGAGAGAAGAGAAACGCCGAAGGGAGUUCAGAACGGGCAUCGGCCUCGUAGAGGGUUCCUCUUCUCCUUCGAGGGAACUUCUUUGAACAGACGGAUUCGAGACGACCCCCGUGCUACGAAGAACGAACCGCUACUUCCAGUAGUUUCCUCCUCUUUUUCUGCCGGCCUAUCUUUUCUUUUUCCCUCGCUCUGUCGUUUCAUUUUCUACCUUCAACGGCUCGUGCAGGAUUUCUUUCAUAGCGAAGUAGAAAUCAUUGGGUUCCUUUUUCCUUCAACCCGGCCUUAUUCCUUCCCCCCUUCUUUCUCUUUUCGUUUCUAUCACCCUUCGUCCCCCUCUCUGGUUCCAUAACUUGAAAGAGUAUUCUUCCAUGGUUUUUCCAUAGGAGAACGUCGAUCUAUUCCACCUCGUGUCAGAUAUGGAGAUUUAUUUUCACGAUUGGGACGUCUUUCUCUUUCAGUUUCCCUGGUUCUUGGUCGCUCGUCGGAUAGUGAGGGACGUGAGAUUUUAUUGUUCAGAUUCGAUCGUGUCAUGCCGAUAUCCAUUUCUUACGGGAAAUCUCCUACCUUUCGUCGAACUUUGACAGCGAGAUUUCGCUUUCUUUCAUUCGGCUGCUUAGUAUACAAUCUUUUUGAUGUUUUUCGAUACGAAUAUUUCUAGGAUUGUUUGCACCCAAUAUCUGCACUUUGCAUGUAUUUACAGAUAUAUAGCACAAAUGUCGGAUGACAGUGAGAAAGCAAACAGAAAGAUAAGAGCAAUUAAUGAAACUUAACAAAGUUUAAUAAAGUUCCUCAUUGCGUAAUGGUUUCUAUUUAACAACUUUAAUUAGCUCUAAUUUGUGAGCAAAUUUUGUAUUGACUAUUUUAAACAUAUCCUCGUGUUUAACCCUUUAAACUCUAUAGCGCAGUUUACGAUGCAAUAUGGAAAACCUUACUAAUUUCUAUCGCGACUAACACAAAACAAGAAACUUAAAUAAUUGUUUCAAAAUACAUAUAAAAAUUCUUCCUUCUUAUUUUUAUUAAAAAUUAUUUUUUUUAUCGCGUAUUACAUUAUUAAAAAUGAAAAAUAAUUGGAAAAUAAACAUGACAUUUGCCGAUGGAACAAAUUAAUUUAGCAAUUCUAAAACUGUAAUAAUUCUCGAAUGAUUUCACGGCAUGUACAUAUACCUGCUUUAACACUUUUUGGUAAAAGUCUGGAAAUUACAUGUAUCAAUUAACGUAACCAAACAUAUCAGGUUUAGAAUAAAGUUACAAUGUAUUUUUUAUAUGCGUCGACGCAUGAAAAUACAUAAAAUUAAUUCUAGAGUAUACUUCAUUUUAUAUUAUUUUCCUUUGCUUUGUGACAUUUUUCUUAUCUUUAAUCAUUUUAAAAACAGAACUUGCCUCUGUUGUGGAAGCUUUUCUAUAAACAGCGUGUUACUAAAUCGAAUUAAUUUGAGCAACAAAGAAAUAAAUAACAAUAAGAGAAAAAUCGUACAGUAACUGUAAAAUAAAACCACAUUUGAUUACAUAUUCUUAUCUUUUUAUACCUUGUACAAAUUAGUAUCUUAUAUCAUAUUAUCCCAUUUCAUUUAUUUAUCUAUUAUGAACCUACUUAUUCCUUCACGCGCAAAAUUGAACUUACUAUUUCCAAGAUAAUUGUGGGUUCAAUACAUUUUAACAGAAAUAAUAUUCGCCACCAAUUAGUAUAUCUUUCACUCGAAUAUAGGUCAUCGAAAGGGAAUUAAAAUACUGAAUUUAAAGAUAGAUGUAAUAAAUAUGGCGAGCGGUCAUUGCUAUUAUUUUUGGUGAUACGAUCAACAUAACAUUCGGUUGAAGCAGACCGCAGGCCCUUUUCCCAUAUCCACCACCAAAACCGUGAAUUAUGUAUGCGUGCGCACGUUCAAACGGCCGCCUGCAUAUAGUUAUUUAAUAUUUCCAUUAAUUCAGUCCUGACACAGUCGAGCACAUGUGUAUCCCUUUUCUGAUAUGUUUAUGAUUUUACAUUUUCUAUUUUACAUUUUAAGAUGCAAUUCGUAAAUCUUACAAAGUAUCUAACUCAUAACGGAUAUUAAUAUUUAAUGUACACAAUGUUUUCAUUCAGUUCAAAACAUUAUAUUUUGUGCUAAAUCUAAUUUAGGGAUAUAGUAAAUUUAAUUUAUUGGAUAUUUGUGUCAUAAGUA
Long non-coding RNA from Bombus terrestris (buff-tailed bumblebee), 2515 nucleotides. RefSeq lists it as uncharacterized. Lineage: Eukaryota; Metazoa; Arthropoda; Insecta; Hymenoptera; Apidae. The transcript has 3 exons. The record is from RefSeq and is a predicted model, not a curated record.